CACCGCCACCCAUCAACACCACAACACCAGACCUAUCACCAUUCUACCAGAUCUACUACCAUACACUACAUGCACCACCACCUCCACCCACCUACCAUUUGCCAUCAACACUACCAUCACCUAUUGACAUCUAGAUUCACCAAUCCACAAAAAAGGUGAGACAAAAGAAAUUUGGGGAAUAAGAAUUGCCACCCGUUGCCACCCACUAGUGCCACCACCAUUGUCUAAAUUUAAAAAGAAAACAAAGAGAUGUAGAAGAUAUGAAAUGUGAAAGAAAAGAGAGGAUACUGAGACAACAAAAGUAGGGGGGAGAGAGAGAGAGGAUCUGAAAACAAAAGAGAGUUUAACAGUGUUUUUUUUUCAAGAACGACACUGUUUUGGAAGGGCCAACACAUGUAGUUAAAUGUUUGACAUUGUAUCUCCCUUAUUCACAUAAUUAAAAGUAUAAACUUAGUUUUGAUUUCACUCAAAUUAAAUUAUGUUAUGCACUUUCCUUACUAAAUCAGUUUCUUAAUUAGAUUAUAAUUCAUUAAUAGCGGAUAUUUUAACAUAUCAUGUGAUUUAAUUAUAUACUUAGUUUCGCACCUUCAAUGUUAAAUUAGUUUUUAACAAAAUUAAAAUUUAUUUAACACAAAAUAUUAAAUAUCAGUCGUUUUAAUUAUAUUAGUUUUAACUGUGAAUUUCUUAACUAAAUUAGUGUCCUAACUAAAUUAAAUUUCAUUAGAACUUGAAAUCUUAUCAAAUUACAGUGUUUAAUUAUAUCAAUAUUAGUCGUGAUUCGUGAAAUUAGUUGAGCAAUAAUGGAUUUCUUACCAACUGUUAACACUCGAAUUUGUCCUCAUGCUCAACCACCGGCUUGUAUGUGGACCUGUACAUAAAGAAUCACUAGAAAGUACUUGACGGCUUAGGCCGUUG
This 915-nucleotide long non-coding RNA is filed under the name Panax ginseng (ginseng). RNAcentral's name for it is "long non-coding RNA (PGIN_LNC017050)". Lineage: Eukaryota; Viridiplantae; Streptophyta; Magnoliopsida; Apiales; Araliaceae. The record is from RNAcentral.